GGGAGGGAGGGUGUUUGUCAGCUAUGUCGAGUCUUGGUUAACGACUUUGCCUCCGUUCAUGGUUGGCGUCCCUGAACUUUUUCUAGAGCGUCCUUGUUUUUCUCCAAUUUCAUGCAGCGAUGGCUCUCUGUACAUGCACACUGCAAACAGAAAAGACACCCGUUAGCAGCCCUGAAGUCACAGCAUCACUGACCACCAUGAGUUAUCUGUAUGCGAGGCUGAAGUCCUCACCCCGGUACAACACAGGCGCAGACAUACAAAAGCCUCAGUGACCCAGUGGAAGAUCCUCUUAUCGAGCAAGAUCUGCUAUCUGCCUUUGCUGCCAGCCAGAUCCUUCCAGAGGCACAGACAGAAACAAGGGAUUUCUGCUUCCCUGUGGGCCCAGCCGAUGCAUUUCAGAGCUGUCUGAGCUGGCGUCUGCCCGGAGGCUCGACGUGCUGGAUGCUGCCAGAUGGAGUCAGCGUGUUCAGGUGCAGGAGUUGACCAUCCCCAAGUCACGGAAGAUGCGCCGACGGGCAAGGAGGCUGGACUGGUUGAACAAGAGACCUUUGGCUGGAACUGAAGAGUAAAAGGCAAGUUUAUGGUCUCUGGAAGAGUGGGCAAGCUACUUAUGAUGAUUACAGGUAUGUAGUGAAGCUGUGCAGGGAGAAAAUUAGAAAAGCCAAAGCCCAAAUAGAACUGAAUUUGGCCACUAAGGUAAAGGACAACAAUAAAUAUUUCUACAAAUACAUCAACAGCAAGAGGAGGGCUAGGGAGAAUCUUCAUCCCCUGUUGGAUGCUGAGGGCAGCUUGGUGACCAAGUAUCAGGAUAAGGCUGAGGUACUUAAUGCCUUCUUUGCCUCAGUCUUUAAUAGUAAGACUUGUUACUCCCUGGGAACACAGCCCCCUGUGCUGGUAGUUAGGGAUCGGGAACAGAAUUAGCCAUGCAUGAUUCACAGUGAGAUGGUUUUGGACCUGCUCCGAAAGCUGGAUGCUCACAAGUCCAUGGGGCCGGAUGGACUGCACCCUAGAGUGCUGAGGGAGUUGGUGGAUGUGGUUGCCAAGCCCCUCUCCAUCAUCCUUUGGUCCUGGCUAACUGGGGAUGUCAUGGCAGACUGGAGACUGGCAAAUAUGACGCCCGUCUUCAAAAAGGGCCGGUAAGAUGAUCCUGGUAGAUACAGACCUAUCAGUCUCACCUCAGUGCCAGGGAUGCUUAUGGAAUGGAUAAUCUGGGGAACCAUCAUGGACCAGUUAAAGGUCAACCAGGGGACCAGGUCCAGUCAACACGGGUUUAUGAAUGGUAGAUCCUGUUUGACAAACCUGAUUUCAUUCUAUGACAAGGUGGCCCAUUUAGUGGAUGAAGGUAAAGCUGUUGACGUGGUCUGCCUGGGCUUAAGUAAAGCCUUUGACACUGUCCCUCACAACAUCCUCAUGGAGAAGCUGGCUGCCCACGGUUUGGAUGGGCGUACACUCUGCUGGGUGAAACAUUGGCAGGAUGGCUGCGCCCAAAGAGUUGUGGUCAAUGGAGUUAAAUCCAGUUGGCAGCCAGUCACGAGUGGUGUCCCCCAGGGCUCGGUACUGGGGCCGCUUCUAUUUAACAUCUUUAUUAACGAUCUUGAUGAGGGGAUUGUAUCAGGAAUGCUGUGGUGAGCAGGACUAGGGAAGUAAUCCUGCCCCUGUACUCAGCAUUGGAGAGGCCCUACCUCGAGUGCUGUGUUCAGUUUUGGGCACCUCAGUAGAGAAAAAGGACAUUGAGAUGCUGGAGCAGGUCCAAAGAAGGGCAACAAGGCUUGUGAAGGGCUUGGAGAAUAUGCCCUAUGAGGAGAGACUGAAGGAACUGGGGCUGUUUAGUGCGGGAAAAUGAGGCUGAGGGGAGAGCUUAUGUUCUCUUCCAAUAUCUGAAAGGUGCUUACAGCAAGAGCAGGGUUGGUCUCUUCUUACUGGUGACAGGAUGAGAGGAAACGGCCUUAAGUUGCGCCAGGGUAAGUUUAGGUUAGACAUCAGGAAAACCUUCUGUACUGAAAGGGUUGUUAAGCACUGGAAUAGGCUCCCCAGGGAGGUGGUUGAAUCACCAUCCCUGGAUGUGUUUAAAAACUAUUUGGAUGUGGUGCUCAGGGACGUGAUUUAGCACAGGGUUGUUAGAGUUAGGGUAGUAUGGUUAGGUUGUGGUUGGAUUCGAUGAUCUUUAAGGUCUUUUCCAACCUGAGCGAUUCUAUGAUUCUAUGAUGUACCACACCAUAUACACUGGGGUUUGGGCCAGUGAGAGAUGGCAUGGAGCUCUUUUGGUAGAAUAGUCUGGAAAUGAUGUCUUCAAGAAGGAACCAAAAACAGCAGAGCUCAUUCACAAAAAGCAUCUAAUAGAAUUUUUACUUAAGGGAUUGGAAGAGUCCCCCAUUAGUUGAGAUGGAAAAAACAAGAGGUACCAUAGAUGGAAGUGUUUGUCCAGUACUAAUCAAUGCAGACACUUAAGGAGACUGAAAUUGCUGUAAAAGAUUGCUCGGUGUCCAAGUGACAAUUAUACCCAAGAUAAUUUCUUGUGGUCUGGUUCAAUCUAUAUGUCUGCACUUUAAAGGCUCAUUUAGCACAAAUGAUCAGCGAUCAGAAAUACAAAUAUCAAAAGAAAUGUGUUGUGUAUGUGUGUUUUUAACCAAGAGUGGCCCCACACAGUACAUUAACUGCUGACGGGCAGGCUGUUUGCCUUGGCUUUGCCAGCGCACAGAUGGGAGAGGAACUGAACGUUUCCCAUCAUUACUCACUGCAUUUUUUUUUUUGUGUGCUUUUAUAUUGAUAAAGCUUGGUGUGAUUUUCAAAAACAAACAAGCACAUCCUACCUCCACUAGACCAAACCUAACCCCUCGUAUGAACCAAAUGCAGAAACCUUUCCAGUGGCUUUGCACAGAACAGCCCCAGCAUCUGACAAUUUACAGGAGACAAAGCACUCCGCAGGAUUAGCACAGCAUAGGACUGUACCUGUGAGAGAUAACACACAUACAUACACAGACACAACUGUGUGUAUAUAUAUAUAUAUACACAUACAUACAUACAUAUAUAUAUAUAUAUACAUACAUAUACACACACACACACACACACACACACACACAUACAUUGAUGUGGGCCUUAGAAGUUCCUUGGGAGGACAUUUCAUACUUACUCAUUAGCUUACUGUCUAUUUGCAAUUCUGAGAAAAGAGCUUCUGAAUUCAGAAAGCAGUAUGAAGCAACAGGAGUCAAUGCUGCAGGAGCAAGCUGGGCUUUUCUGUGAUUCCUUUUCCUGCAAACGUUCCCUUCACUGAGCUGCUGCAUAAUUUUUCUGCGCACAGCAAUCAGCUGGGAAGUUUCAGCUCAGAGAUAAUUGCCAUUGAAGUGGUGGGUGAAGUGAUUCCUGGCACUGCAUGCGACACUGCUUCUUUUCACAGGACCCGAAUCCUCUGUGCAUACAUCACCGUGUCAGCACUGUGUCACAGUGUUAAUGCUGGUGGUGGGAUCACAGCAAAAGCGUACGUACUGCAGAUGGAAGCAGCAUAGCACCGGCCUGAAUAAGCAGCAAAGGACACACACUGGGGCAUGCCACCGUGCUCAGCGGAAGGGAUGUGCAAAUACAGCAGGAGAGUGCUGUCACUCGUUCCUUCUAGUCAUCUCAAAGAGAAAGAUGCUGUUAAACCAGGGCAGGAGUUGCCCCUUUUCUCUAACAUCUCUGCUUGCAAGCUCUGCUCGCAGAGACUUUGAUGGAUGCAGCACAGACAAGUCACGUGGAGCUGAGCACGUUUUACUCCAGCCCUCUGCUACCGACAAUGAAUCUUGGGCUUGGGAACAGAGCCCUCCGUCUGGAGCCACAGUCCCAGACAGCUGAAUGCUUUGGGAAGCUGACACGUGCCUGGGCUUGGGAGGCUGCCAGCUCUUUGAUGCAGCAGAGGCCGCCUGCAAAGCGUGUGGAGGAGGGAAGGGGUGGAGGAGCCCUUCAUUUGGCUGCCAACUUCCAAAGUGUUCGCUCGCUCAGGAGGUUAUGUGACAGCUGUGAUUGAAGCAAGUGUGGGAGGAGGCAACUGCAGGAAAGGGAAGCUCUCAGGCUGGGUUUGGUUUUUCAAAAUGAAAGCUGGAGCAGCAGUUGCUGCAAUGAGAACUCCGCUGCGGCCAGGCACCUCUAUUAUGGUGAAUCUUUCUGUGAGGAGAACCGCAGAAUGGCCUACUUUAACUCAUGCGGAAGACAACUACUGAGCCAUUCAACAGCCACCACAUGUGCUGCACUGGGGAAGAAAUCUGGAUUCCAAGGCUCUGCUCAGUGCCAGCAGCCAGCGAGGUAGCAAAGAGCUAUAAGAAGGAGCUGUAAACCCAGCUGGGACAGCUAGCACCUGUAAAAGCCUCUUCCUCGCCAAGGUAGGAGAGGAAUGGAACCCAACCUCCUGCUGAAGCGGGCCCUGGUCUUUAGCACAACCCAAAGUGGGCUGAGGAAGCUAGCUCUGCUGCUGCCUCCAAUUGGCUCUCAGCUGCAGAAAAGUCACUGAGAACAAGCACAGGAGAAGCACACCUGUGACAUUCUCUCUUCUUCCAACACCUCCAUCUUCUGUGCAAAGGGAGCAGAUACCUGUGAAUGCAGAGCUGAAUUUCUCUCUAAUUUAUAAUUAACAGAAAAGGGACAAUUGCUUGUUUCCAAAAUUAAGUUAGUACCUUAUAAGGACUAAGAUUAUUGCAGUACAUCUCUCCCAUCUACCACGUUCCAGCCCAUAAAAAAAUGCCAUGGCAUGAGCCCAUGGCACACUUCAGCAAUGUACUGUCAGCAAGCAGGGACAAAAAUUCAACUCCACUACUUCCACCAAAGCCUCAAGCUGUGAUAACGUGCAGAGUUUUUUACAUGAGACGGAAAGUGGAUGGAAUGCCAGCAGUGCAGCCCAGCACUCCAAAAGUGCUCCCCAACACCCAAUCCAUGCAGCCCCAAAUCCGCACCUGCCAGCUCACCCACCCUCCACACCAUACGGAUGGAGGGAGAGAUUCCAUACCU
Long non-coding RNA from Gallus gallus (chicken), 4974 nucleotides. RefSeq lists it as uncharacterized. The transcript has 3 exons. The record is from RefSeq and is a predicted model, not a curated record. Lineage: Eukaryota; Metazoa; Chordata; Aves; Galliformes; Phasianidae.